This 33-nucleotide small RNA is filed under the name Bombyx mori (domestic silkworm). RNAcentral describes it as "ovarian small RNA-11437". The record is from RNAcentral. Lineage: Eukaryota; Metazoa; Arthropoda; Insecta; Lepidoptera; Bombycidae.
ACGACUUCGCAGGUUCGAAUCCUGCUCUCCCCA